This 266-nucleotide unclassified non-coding RNA is filed under the name Hevea brasiliensis (rubber tree). The record is from RNAcentral. Lineage: Eukaryota; Viridiplantae; Streptophyta; Magnoliopsida; Malpighiales; Euphorbiaceae.
GAGAGCGGGAUGCUUGUUGGAGAUUGCAGCUUGGCUGGAGAUAAUUGCGUUUGCGGCCUGCCAGUCUACCCGGGAGGAAUUGACAGAGCCCGGGAAGGAGUAGGAUUGAUCGGCACGAUAAGCCGAUCUAACUACACACAUUCUCAUCUUUCUGAGGAGAUGAUGCUUCGCCCUAGAGGUGGUGGAGGUGAUGAAGGAAUUAUGGUGGAUUCCCGGUGUUUCGUAAAUUAGCGCUGCCAUGAAUGGAAUAAGAUAUGAUGUAAAAG